AGACUGUAUAAUAGUAAGAUAAGACACCGCCUUUUCACGGCGGUAACACGGGUUCGAAUCCCGUACGGACUA
This 72-nucleotide transfer RNA is filed under the name Streptococcus pneumoniae. RNAcentral describes it as "tRNA-Glu(ttc)". The stretch from base 12 to 64 matches the Rfam family "tRNA", at positions 8 to 63 of the family's 71-position model. Rfam says of the family: Transfer RNA (tRNA) molecules are approximately 80 nucleotides in length. Lineage: Bacteria; Bacillati; Bacillota; Bacilli; Lactobacillales; Streptococcaceae. The record is from RNAcentral.